RNAcentral lists this transfer RNA (71 nucleotides) under Camelus bactrianus (Bactrian camel). It matches the Rfam family "tRNA". From Rfam's summary of the family: Transfer RNA (tRNA) molecules are approximately 80 nucleotides in length. Their secondary structure includes four short double-helical elements and three loops (D, anti-codon, and T loops). Lineage: Eukaryota; Metazoa; Chordata; Mammalia; Artiodactyla; Camelidae. RNAcentral also lists the same sequence under 3 other names. The record is from Rfam by way of RNAcentral.
GAGGUUAUAGCUCAGUGGUAGAGCACAUGCCUAAUGUGCAUAAGGUCCUGGGUUCAAUCCUCAGUACCUCU